This 255-nucleotide ribosomal RNA is filed under the name uncultured bacterium. RNAcentral describes it as "partial 16S ribosomal RNA". It matches the Rfam family "Bacterial small subunit ribosomal RNA", at positions 524 to 776 of the family's 1533-position model. The record is from RNAcentral.
UACGUAGGGGGCAAGCGUUGUCCGGAAUCAUUGGGCGUAAAGAGCGUGUAGGCGGCCAGAAAAGUCCGCUGUGAAAACUCGAGGCUCAACUUCGAGCUGUCGGUGGAAACUUUCUGGCUAGAGUCCGGAAGAGGAGAAUGGAAUUCCUGGUGUAGCGGUGAAAUGCGCAGAUAUCGAGGAAGAACACCCGUGGCGAAGGCGGUUCUCUGGGACGGUACUGACGCUGGAGACGCGAAAGCGUGGGGAGCGAACAGG